This 442-nucleotide ribosomal RNA is filed under the name uncultured bacterium. RNAcentral's name for it is "partial 16S ribosomal RNA". It matches the Rfam family "Bacterial small subunit ribosomal RNA", at positions 338 to 795 of the family's 1533-position model. The record is from RNAcentral.
CCUACGGGAGGCAGCAGUAGGGAAUCUUUCACAAUGGGCGAAAGCCUGAUGGAGCAACGCCGCGUGCAGGAUGAAGGCCUUCGGGUUGUAAACUGCUUUUAUCAGCGAGAAAUAUGAUGGUAACUUAUGAAUAAGGAUCGGCUAACUACGUGCCAGCAGCCGCGGUCAUACGUAGGAUCCGAGCAUUAUCCGGAGUGACUGGGUGUAAAGAGUUGCGUAGGUGGCAUAAUAAGUAGCUAGUGAAAUCUGGUGGCUCAACCAUUCAGACUAUUAGCUAAACUGUUAAGCUCGAGACCGUUAGGGGUAACUGGAAUUUCUAGUGUAGGAGUGAAAUCCGUAGAUAUUAGAAGGAACACCAAUAGCGUAGGCAGGUUGCUGGGACGGGUCUGACACUAAGGCACGAAAGCGUAGGGAGCAAACGGGAUUAGAUACCCUAGUAGUC